Molecule: ribosomal RNA, 375 nt
Filed under: uncultured organism
Description: partial 16S ribosomal RNA
Rfam family: Bacterial small subunit ribosomal RNA
Source: RNAcentral
GUAGGUGGCAAGCGUUGUCCGGAAUUAUUGGGCGUAAAGCGCGCGCAGGCGGUUCUUUAAGUCUGAUGUGAAAGCCCACGGCUCAACCGUGGAGGGUCAUUGGAAACUGGAGAACUUGAGUACAGAAGAGGAAAGCGGAAUUCCACGUGUAGCGGUGAAAUGCGUAGAGAUGUGGAGGAACACCAGUGGCGAAGGCGGCUUUCUGGUCUGUAACUGACGCUGAGGCGCGAAAGCGUGGGGAGCAAACAGGGAUUAGAUACCCUGGUAGUCCACGCCGUAAACGAUGAGUGCUAAGUGUUAGGGGGGUUUCCGCCCCCUUAGUGCUGCAGCUAACGCAUUAAGCACUCCGCCCUGGGGAGUACGGCCGCAAGGCUG